RNAcentral lists this long non-coding RNA (447 nucleotides) under Trifolium pratense (red clover). RNAcentral's name for it is "long non-coding RNA (TPRA_LNC011311)". Lineage: Eukaryota; Viridiplantae; Streptophyta; Magnoliopsida; Fabales; Fabaceae. The record is from RNAcentral.
CUAUGGAGAAGAAAAGAAGUUCUAGUUACCUUAGAAGAGGAAGCUCAUCACAACUCCUAGCUUUCAAACAAGCUUCGAAAGGAUGAAAAUGGUGGAGAGAUGAAUUUUGAGUGAGUGUAUAGUGAUGGUGGAGUGUGUGGUUCGGCCAUGGAAGAAAGAUGAGUGAGUUUCCAAUUUAUCCUAAACAUGGAGGAACCCGACAGUUGAACUAUAAGGAGAAAAACAAUCAGGCAAAAACACAACAGAACAUUCAUAUAAAAGAAAAAUCUGAACAAAUAAUUAUAAGCAUGUUUUAUAGUUUAACCAUAGAAGCUCUCAAACUUUAAAAUCAUCAAUUCUUCCUCUUCUUACUACUUCACAUUCUUUUUCCUUGACUUAGGCAGCACCCUGAAAAAAGGUAACCAAACCAACAAAUAAAUAGAAAAUGAGUAAUUAAAGAAUUGUGAA